Molecule: ribosomal RNA, 396 nt
Filed under: uncultured microorganism
Description: bacterial SSU rRNA
Rfam family: Archaeal small subunit ribosomal RNA
Source: RNAcentral
GUGCACCAGUCGCGAAAACUUCACACUGUGCGAAAGCACGAUGAGGGAAUCCCAAGUGCUUGCACGUAAGUGUAAGCUGUUUCUCUGUCUAAAACGCAGAGAGAGUAAGGGCUGGGUAAGACGGGUGCCAGCCGCCGCGGUAAUACCUGCAGCUCAAGUGGUGACCGUUAUUAUUGGGCCUAAAACGUCCGUAGCCGGUUUAAUAAAUGCCUGGGUAAAUUGUGUAGCUUAACUAUACGAAUUCCGGGUAGACUGUUAAACUUGAGACCGGGAGAAGUUAGAGGUACUCCUGGGGUAGAGGUGAAAUUCUGUAAUCCUAGGGGGACCACCAGUGGCGAAGGCGUCUAACUAGAACGGGUCUGACGGUGAGGGACGAAGCCCUGGGGCGCAAACGGG